This 505-nucleotide ribosomal RNA is filed under the name uncultured bacterium. RNAcentral describes it as "partial 16S ribosomal RNA". It matches the Rfam family "Bacterial small subunit ribosomal RNA", at positions 30 to 523 of the family's 1533-position model. The record is from RNAcentral.
AUUGAACGCUGGCGGCAGGCCUAACACAUGCAAGUCGAACGGUAGCACAGAGAGCUUGCUCUCGGGUGACGAGUGGCGGACGGGUGAGUAACGUCUGGGAAACUGCCCGAUGGAGGGGGAUAACUACUGGAAACGGUAGCUAAUACCGCAUAACGUCGCAAGACCAAAGUGGGGGACCUUCGGGCCUCACACCAUCGGAUGUGCCCAGAUGGGGUUAGCUAGUAGGUGGGGUAAUGGCUCACCUAGGCGACGAUCCCUAGCUGGUCUGAGAGGAUGACCAGCCACACUGGAACUGAGACACGGUCCAGACUCCUACGGGAGGCAGCAGUGGGGAAUAUUGCACAAUGGGCGCAAGCCUGAUGCAGCCAUGCCGCGUGUAUGAAGAAGGCCUUCGGGUUGUAAAGCACUUUAAGCGAGGAGGAGGCUCUUUUGGUUAAUACCCAAGAUGAGUGGACGUUACUCGCAGAAUAAGCACCGGCUAACUCUGUGCCAGCCGCCGCAGUAA